GUAGUCGAUGGGAAACAGGUUAAUAUUCCUGUACUUGGUGUUACUGCGAAGGGGGGACGGAGAAGGCUAUGUUGGCCGGGCGACGGUUGUCCCGGUUUAAGCGUGUAGGCUGGUUUUCCAGGCAAAUCCGGAAAACCAAGGCUGAGGCGUGAUGACGAGGCACUACGGUGCUGAAGUGACAAAUGCCCUGCUUCCAGGAAAAGCCUCUAAGCAUCAGGUAACAUCAAAUCGUACCCCAAACCGACACAGGUGGUCAGGUAGAGAAUACCAAGGCGCUUGAGAGAACUCGGGUGAAGGAACUAGGCAAAAUGGUGCCGUAACUUCGGGAGAAGGCACGCUGAUAUGUAGGUGAAGCGACUUGCUCGUGGAGCUGAAAUCAGUCGAAGAUACCAGCUGGCUGCAACUGUUUAUUAAAAACACAGCACUGUGCAAACACGAAAGUGGACGUAUACGGUGUGACGCCUGCCCGGUGCCGGAAGGUUAAUUGAUGGGGUUAGCGGUAACGCGAAGCUCUUGAUCGAAGCCCCGGUAAACGGCGGCCGUAACUAUAACGGUCCUAAGGUAGCGAAAUUCCUUGUCGGGUAAGUUCCGACCUGCACGAAUGGCGUAAUGAUGGCCAGGCUGUCUCCACCCGAGACUCAGUGAAAUUGAACUCGCUGUGAAGAUGCAGUGUACCCGCGGCAAGACGGAAAGACCCCGUGAACCUUUACUAUAGCUUGACACUGAACAUUGAGCCUUGAUGUGUAGGAUAGGUGGGAGGCUUUGAAGUGUGGACGCCAGUCUGCAUGGAGCCGACCUUGAAAUACCACCCUUUAAUGUUUGAUGUUCUAACGUUGGCCCGUAAUCCGGGUUGCGGACAGUGUCUGGUGGGUAGUUUGACUGGGGCGGUCUCCUCCUAAAGAGUAACGGAGGAGCACGAAGGUUGGCUAAUCCUGGUCGGACAUCAGGAGGUUAGUGCAAUGGCAUAAGCCAGCUUGACUGCGAGCGUGACGGCGCGAGCAGGUGCGAAAGCAGGUCAUAGUGAUCCGGUGGUUCUGAAUGGAAGGGCCAUCGCUCAACGGAUAAAAGGUACUCCGGGGAUAACAGGCUGAUACCGCCCAAGAGUUCAUAUCGACGGCGGUGUUUGGCACCUCGAUGUCGGCUCAUCACAUCCUGGGGCUGAAGUAGGUCCCAAGGGUAUGGCUGUUCGCCAUUUAAAGUGGUACGCGAGCUGGGUUUAGAACGUCGUGAGACAGUUCGGUCCCUAUCUGCCGUGGGCGCUGGAGAACUGAGGGGGGCUGCUCCUAGUACGAGAGGACCGGAGUGGACGCAUCACUGGUGUUCGGGUUGUCAUGCCAAUGGCACUGCCCGGUAGCUAAAUGCGGAAGAGAUAAGUGCUGAAAGCAUCUAAGCACGAAACUUGCCCCGAGAU
Molecule: ribosomal RNA, 1411 nt
Filed under: Escherichia coli
Lineage: Bacteria; Pseudomonadati; Pseudomonadota; Gammaproteobacteria; Enterobacterales; Enterobacteriaceae
Description: partial 23S ribosomal RNA
Rfam family: Bacterial large subunit ribosomal RNA
Source: RNAcentral